RNAcentral lists this ribosomal RNA (253 nucleotides) under uncultured bacterium. RNAcentral describes it as "partial 16S ribosomal RNA". It matches the Rfam family "Bacterial small subunit ribosomal RNA", at positions 524 to 776 of the family's 1533-position model. The record is from RNAcentral.
UACGGAGGGUGCAAGCGUUAUCCGGAUUCACUGGGUUUAAAGGGUGCGUAGGUGGGCAGGUAAGUCAGUGGUGAAAUCUCCGGGCUUAACCCGGAAACUGCCAUUGAUACUAUUUGUCUUGAAUACCGUGGAGGUCAGCGGAAUAUGUCAUGUAGCGGUGAAAUGCUUAGAUAUGACAUAGAACACCAAUUGCGAAGGCAGCUCACUACGGAUAUAUUGACACUGAGGCACGAAAGCGUGGGGAUCAAACAGG